CCCUUAGAUGUUCUGGGCCGCACGCGCGCUACACUGAUGCACUCAACGAGUCUCCACCUUGACCGAAAGGUCCGGGAAACCUUCGAACUUGCAUCGUGAUGGGGAUAGAUUAUUGCAACUAUUAAUCUUGAACGAGGAAUUCCUAGUAAACGCAAGUCAUCAGCUUGCAUUGAUUACGUCCCUGCCCUUUGUACACACCGCCCGUCGCACCUACCGAUCGAAGGUAAUGAUGAGCCCUCAGGAUUGUGGCCUCGUCGCGUCAGCGUCUUGGCUGCGAGAAUCUGUGCAAAUCCCUACCUUUAGAGGAAGGUGAAGUCGUAACA
RNAcentral lists this ribosomal RNA (323 nucleotides) under uncultured eukaryote. RNAcentral describes it as "partial 18S ribosomal RNA". It matches the Rfam family "Eukaryotic small subunit ribosomal RNA", at positions 1470 to 1796 of the family's 1831-position model. The record is from RNAcentral.